CGCUCAUCCAGAGGGGCAGAGGGAACGGCCCGUAGAAGCCCCGGCAACCGGCGUCAGCGCCAUGCACAGAACCUUGUGCAGAGCUAUGCGCAGACGAUCACGGUGCCAAUUCCGACCCGUUCGAUUUCGCGGGAAAGAUGAGGA
Molecule: non-coding RNA, 144 nt
Filed under: Lentzea albidocapillata
Lineage: Bacteria; Bacillati; Actinomycetota; Actinomycetes; Pseudonocardiales; Pseudonocardiaceae
Description: SAM-I sequence
Rfam family: SAM riboswitch aptamer (S box leader)
About the family: The SAM riboswitch is found upstream of a number of genes which code for proteins involved in methionine or cysteine biosynthesis in Gram-positive bacteria.
Source: Rfam by way of RNAcentral